RNAcentral lists this ribosomal RNA (255 nucleotides) under uncultured bacterium. Its description in RNAcentral is "partial 16S ribosomal RNA". It matches the Rfam family "Bacterial small subunit ribosomal RNA", at positions 524 to 777 of the family's 1533-position model. The record is from RNAcentral.
UACGAAGGGGGCUAGCGUUGCUCGGAAUCACUGGGCGUAAAGCGCACGUAGGCGGAUCUUUAAGUCAGGGGUGAAAUCCUGGAGCUCAACUCCAGAACUGCCCUUGAUACUGGGGAUCUUGAGUCCGGAAGAGGUGAGUGGAACUCCGAGUGUAGAGGUGAAAUCGUAGAUAUUCGGAAGGAACACCAGUGGCGAAGGCGGCUCACUGGUCCGGUACUGGACGCUGAGGUGCGAAAGCGUGGGGAGCAAACAGGG